GGAUGUUCCUAACUCCUGUCUCAUCCAUCACCUCAUUGAAGCUGGUUGGUCAGCCAGAGAGAGAGAGAGAGAUAGAGAGAGGGAGACCUGGAGCCUUCAGUCAAUCCUGCAGCCGGUACUCAGGAAAGUGCUGACUCCAUAGACUUCCCAAUUGCUGGGUGUCUCGUCCAACACCUCAUUGAAGUUGAUUGGUCAGCCAGAGAGACAAAGGGCAGAGAGAUCUGGAGCCUUCAAUAAAUCCUGCAGUGAGGUACUCAGGAAAGUCCUGACUCAAUAGCCUUCCCAGCUGCGGGGUGGAUUGUCCAUCACCACAUUGAACGCAGUUGGUCUGCCAGAGGGAGACAAAGGGCAGGGAGAUCUGGAGCCUUCAAUAAAUCCUGUAGUGAGGUAUUCCUGAUGUCCCUGACUCAGCACAAUUCCCAAUUCCUGUCUCGUCCAUCACCACAUUGAAGACGGUUGGUCAGCCAGAGAGAGAUGGAGAGUGAGAU
Hemiscyllium ocellatum (epaulette shark) is the source of this 488-nucleotide long non-coding RNA. RefSeq lists it as uncharacterized. The transcript is spliced from 4 exons. NCBI's taxonomy places the organism in Eukaryota, Metazoa, Chordata, Chondrichthyes, Orectolobiformes, Hemiscylliidae. The record is from RefSeq and is a predicted model, not a curated record.